GCCUGCGUUCGGUGGCUCGUUGCUCGGGUCUUCAAUCUGGCAGCUCUGCUUGAAUAAAAGCAGUGAAUUCGGAACACAGCCGUAAACGCAGCGGUGCAAUGUAUUAAGACGCGCCAACUUCAUUUUUUCUACCGUUUCGCGACGCUUACGAGUCGAUACGUGUUCUUCGCGGCUUUUCUACUCGUCAAAAGUGAAUAUUGUACGCAAAUAAUGAUGUAAUUCGAGAUGAACCAAAAAUAACCGUGCACUGCGGAUACACUUCAUUGAUACGCGUAUAUGUAGUAUUGAUAUGCGUAUAAAGAUAAAAAAGAGUGAUGUUAAGAAUUUUUCAAUAUCUUUUUAUUAUGGA
This is a long non-coding RNA of Linepithema humile (Argentine ant), 349 nucleotides long. RefSeq lists it as uncharacterized. The record is from RefSeq and is a predicted model, not a curated record. Lineage: Eukaryota; Metazoa; Arthropoda; Insecta; Hymenoptera; Formicidae.